Acanthosepion pharaonis is the source of this 100-nucleotide non-coding RNA. NCBI's taxonomy places the organism in Eukaryota, Metazoa, Mollusca, Cephalopoda, Sepiida, Sepiidae. The record is from the annotation of a GenBank genome assembly.
AUUAAAACACUGGUUCACAUCUGAACACCAAAGUUAAGCAACGUCAAGCCUAGUCAAUACCGAGAUAGGUGACCACUUGGAAAUCACAGGGUGCUGUAAG